This 1027-nucleotide ribosomal RNA is filed under the name Bulimina sp. FF78. Its description in RNAcentral is "bacterial SSU rRNA". It matches the Rfam family "Eukaryotic small subunit ribosomal RNA", at positions 1160 to 1828 of the family's 1831-position model. Lineage: Eukaryota; Foraminifera; Rotaliida; Buliminidae. The record is from RNAcentral.
AAGGGCACCACAAGAACGCGUGGAGCAUGUGGCUUAAUUUGACUCAACGCGGGAAAUCUUACCGGGUCCGGACACACUGAGGAUUGACAGGCAAUAUUAGCACAUGCACGCUUCGGCGCUGCUUUGUGUUAUGUUAAAUAUGCUAGUCCUUUCAUGAUUAUGUGAUAGGUGGUGCAUGGCCGUUCUUAGUUCGUGGAGUGAUCUGUCUGCUUAAUUGCGUUUCACCAAGGGCCUAUAAUUUUACGUGUGUUGCGGCACUUUGACCCCUCUUUUUUAAGAGCGCGUGUCUUGGUUUGCUUAGCUCGCACAAUUAGGUCCUGAAAGCAACGAACGUGACCGCAACCUCUUGUUGCCUUUAUACCAAACGUGCAUAUUGCAAUUUUUAUUGCUUUGCGCGCAAAAAGGCUUUUUAAACUAGAGGGACCGCUGUUACUUUCUUAAACCAGAGGAAGGUUGCGGCAAUAACAGGUCUGUGAUGCCCUUAGAUGUUCCGGGCUGCACACGUGCUACAAUGAUUAUUGCAGUGAGCAUCUCAUUUUUUACACACCGCAUACGCGAGGCCAUUUAUUCGCCUUCGGGUGCUUUAAAUGUGUUUUCUCUGCGAGCGGUAAAGCCUGCUUCGAAAGUAAGUGGGUAAUCAAUUAGAAGUAAUGAUUUCCUUUUUUUAGCACACAUAUAUACGGCGUCUAUGCCCGGGUUACCUUGUUGUAGCUUUUGUGCGUAUAGAUGUUUUUUCCGUAUGUGCGAUUGUCAAUUCAUGGUGGGGACAGACCAUUGUUAAUUGUUGGUCUCAGUCUUAACUAGGAAUGCCUUGUACGGGUCUUUGGUUCAACAAACCACCCGGAAUACGUCCCUGCCCUUUGUACACACCGCCCGUCGCUCUUACCGAUGGACUUCUCUGUGAGUUUGAGGGACUGGGGACGCGAAUUUUAUUCGCACCUGCCUAUGGAAACUUAAACGAACAGUGUGGUCUAAAGGAAAGAGAAGUCGUAACAAGGCAUCGGUAGGUGAACCUGCAGAAGGAUCA